Long non-coding RNA from Acipenser ruthenus (sterlet), 218 nucleotides. RefSeq lists it as uncharacterized. The transcript has 3 exons. Lineage: Eukaryota; Metazoa; Chordata; Actinopteri; Acipenseriformes; Acipenseridae. The record is from RefSeq and is a predicted model, not a curated record.
AGGAAAAGAGAAGGAAGAGAUUCAGAGGCAUCUAAAUAUCAUUAAGGACAGCUUUUACAGAGAUCUGAAAAGGAUGUCUUGCACCUUCCUGACAGCAGUUUUACAGGGUCGACUCAACAGGAGGAGUUGUUAAAGAUCACAGACCCUCAAGCGGCUCUCCAGAAUGUGCUUGCUAUUCAGAGCAGCAAAGAGAUGCAGAACAUGCUGGCUUUCCUGGA